AUUCAGUCCUUAAAAAGUUCAAUUGGAGGGCAAGUCUGGUGCCAGCAGCCGCGGUAAUUCCAGCUCCAAUAGCGUAUAUUAAAAUUGUUGCAGUUAAAAAGCUCGUAGUUGAAUUUCUGCUGCAUCGUCGCAUCUCUUGCUGAGUGCUUCGUUUCGGCUUAUUUCGGAUUGAUUUUUUCUUUCCGGAUGAUUACUUUGAGAAAAUUAGAGUGCUCAAAGCAGGCUUUUGCCUUGAAUAGUUUAGCAUGGAAUAAUAAAGUAGGACUUUGGUUCUAUUUUGUUGGUUUUAGGUACCAAAGUAAUGGUUAAUAGGAACAGUUGGGGGCAUUCGUAUUUAACUGUCAGAGGUGAAAUUCUUAGAUUUGUUAAAGACGAACUACUGCGAAAGCAUUUGCCAAGGAUGUUUUCAUUAAUCAAGAACGAAAGUUAGGGGAUCGAAGACGAUCAGAUACCGUCGUAGUCCUA
This 465-nucleotide ribosomal RNA is filed under the name Theileria sinensis. RNAcentral's name for it is "SSU rRNA". It matches the Rfam family "Eukaryotic small subunit ribosomal RNA", at positions 525 to 1028 of the family's 1831-position model. Lineage: Eukaryota; Apicomplexa; Aconoidasida; Piroplasmida; Theileriidae. The record is from RNAcentral.